GAUGAACGCUGGCGGCGUGCCUAAUACAUGCAAGUCGAGCGAACGGACGAGAAGCUUGCUUCUCUGAUGUUAGCGGCGGACGGGUGAGUAACACGUGGAUAACCUACCUAUAAGACUGGGAUAACUUCGGGAAACGGGGGCUAAUCCCGGUAAAUUUUUUGACCGGCUGGUUCAAAAGGUGAAAGCGGUUUUUGUGUUACUUAAAAGUUGAUCCCGGCCUGAUUAGGUAGGUGGUUAGGGAACGGCAUAACAAGGCAACGAUGCAUAACCCACCUGAGAGGGUGAUCGGCCACACUGGAACUGAGACACGGUCCAGACUCCUACGGGAGGCAGCAGUAGGGAAUCUUCCGCAAUGGGCGAAAGCCUGACGGAGCAACGCCGCGUGAGUGAUGAAGGUCUUCGGAUCGUAAAACUCUGUUAUUAGGGAAGAACAUAUGUGUAAGUAACUGUGCACAUCUUGACGGUACCUAAUCAGAAAGCCACGGCUAACUACGUG
RNAcentral lists this ribosomal RNA (496 nucleotides) under uncultured bacterium. RNAcentral describes it as "partial 16S ribosomal RNA". It matches the Rfam family "Bacterial small subunit ribosomal RNA", at positions 28 to 507 of the family's 1533-position model. The record is from RNAcentral.